AUUGAACGCUGGCGGCAGGCCUAACACAUGCAAGUCGAACGGCAGCGGGGGAUAGCUUGCUAUCCUGCCGGCGAGUGGCGGACGGGUGAGUAAUGCAUGGGGAGCUGCCCAGUCGAGGGGGAUACCAACGGGAAACGGUCGCUAAUACCGCAUACGCCCUACGGGGGAAAGGUGGGCAACUUCGGUGCUACCGAGAUCGGACGCGCCCAUGUGGGAUUAGCUAGUUGGCGAGGUAACGGGUCACUAAGGCGACGAUCUCUAGCUGGUCUGAGAGGAUGACCAGCCACACUGGAACUGAGACACGGUCCAGACUCCUACGGGAGGCAGCAGUGGGGAAUAUUGCACAAUGGGGGAAACCCUGAUGCAGCCAUGCCGCGUGUGUGAAGAAGGCCUUCGGGUUGUAAAGCACUUUCAGUCAGGAGGAAGGGGUGAUGGCUAAUAUCCAUCAUCAUUGACGUUACUGACAGAAGAAGCACCGGCUAACUCCGUGCCAGCCGCCGCGGUAA
This 506-nucleotide ribosomal RNA is filed under the name uncultured bacterium. RNAcentral describes it as "partial 16S ribosomal RNA". It matches the Rfam family "Bacterial small subunit ribosomal RNA", at positions 29 to 523 of the family's 1533-position model. The record is from RNAcentral.